AUGUCUUCACUCAUGGCUUUCUCUCAGGGACCCCGUCACUUCCCUCGACCCAGCCUCUUCUGGGGACUGCUAAGCCAUGGGAGAGAUCAGUACAUGUGUGAACUCCAAAAGGAUUCAGUUCUUACUGAAUGUAGCCUCCACGUCCCUAAACAUUCUAUGACAGUUAGAAGCCACCACUCUGCCCACGGCACAUGGGACCUUGCACUGGAGUUACCCAGGAGAAAACCAGCCUGUGAUGUGCUGGUUUUAAAGCUACAGUCAUCUACAGGUUGAAAACACCACCAUCAUCAUCAUCAUUGUGACUGAAAUAACUGCAGGCUCCACACCCAGCAGGGCCUGAACUCCUGAUCCUGAGAUCCUGAGUCAGAUGCUCAGCCACCUGAGCCACCCGGGGGCCCUGGUUCUUUUAAUUUCAAUGAAGCUCCAUAGACACUCUCACCAACCAAACGAGGAGAUUCCCAUGGUAAGUCACAGAGGGCCUCUAACUGAGGGUAGCAGGCUAUUGAACAAAAUGAAGUAGAAAAGCAAGCAACGGAGGCGCCAGGAUGGCACUUAUAUCCUCACUUACAUCCGCACCCAGCCUCUGGUAGAACCACGCCUGUGUGCAUCACGCACUCCAUAAAUAUCUGUCGUUUGAUUCACCAGUUUUUUUCGGACUAAUGUUGUUGUGAAAAACGGUAAAAUGAAUUUUUACUUUCAUUUUCAUUUUCUACUGUGUGUCAUCAUCUUACAAAUCCAUGCUGUCUCGGCCAAUGCUAUCACUUGGCCAUGGUGCAGGCUGCAGCCCCACCCCCAGGAACAUGAAAGCCUCCACGGGAGUGAGAAGAUGGUAAAUAAAUUACUCCAGCCCCCCUGCUGUGCAGGUUUCUGGAAGGCCAGGGCCUGAGGCCCUCAGUCCCUCAUAGACCUUGGCCUGCCAACCUGAAGUAGCUAACACCAAUGCACAGGCUCCUAAAGAUGCUUUCUUCACAUUCCCUUCCCUGGGAGGAAAUCCCUCCAGGCCUUUGACUUCUCUCAGCAGGAGACUUCCUUUUGGUAUAAAAAGGUAAUGCUUUCCUGGAAGUAAGGUAGACAUGGCCAGAAAGCUCUACCCUUACAGUAAAUAGGGGCUUUCUAAAUAGACAUUUCUAAAGAAUGGGUUCAUAGCAGCAAUGUCCACAGUUGCCAAACUGCGGAAAGAGCCGAGAUGCCCCUUCAACGGACGAAUGGAUAAAGGAGAUAUGGUCCAUAUAUGCAAUGGAAUAUUACUCAACCAUCAGAAAGGACGAACACCCAACUUUGGCAUCAACAUGAAUGGGACUGGAGAUUAUGCUGAGUGAAAUAAGUCAAGCAGAGAGAGUCAAUUAUCAUAUGGUUUCACUUGUGGAACAUAAGGAAUAACGUGGAAGACAUUAGGAGAAGGAAAGGAAAAGUAAAUUGGGGGAAAUCGGAGAGGGAGGCGAACCAUGAGAGACUGCAGACUCUGAGAAACAAACUGAAGGUUUUAGAGUGGGGGAGGGAGGAGGGAUGGGUGGGUAUUAAGGAGGCAUGUAUUGCCUGGAGCACUGGGUGUGUUGCAUAAACAAUGACUCUUGGAACACUGAAAAAAUAAAAUUAAAUUAAAAAUAAAAAAGAACGGGUAAUUAAGGGCUACCUGGAGACCAGGAUCCUCAUAUUUGAUCAACCCUCAAAUCUAAACACUCAAAAGAGAACUUUUAAUAAUUUUGAGCUAAGAAAGAAGAGAGUGGGUAGAUGACACAAGAGCAGAUCUGUCUCAGGAUAGCCUGCAUGGAUUAGUGCUAGGGAGCAGAACACUACAUUUAAUAAGUGCGAGGCAAUGUGGCAGGGAAGGAAGAACAGCCCGACUAAGUAUUAUUUAAGUGGUAUUGAAUUAGUUGGAAAGAUAUCUUGAGGUACUGAUAGGGGCGGCAUGUAAAUUGGCAGUUCAGCCUGAAAUGAGAAGGCACGACUUGCUCACACAGAGGGCUCUAUUUUAUAGAAACUGCAUUUGCUAUUAUGUUUAAAGGAAAAAUCUUAGCACAUUCAUGAUGUUGUUUAACUUGGACUACCCUGAAAGUAAGCGUUCACCGAAGCCAAGGAUCAGCAAGAAGACCUGUCCACCUCUGAUGGCCGCAAUUUAUUUUUUCAACUUAAAUUUGACCAGGGCCAUUAUGGUCUCUGUCAUUCAUUCAUUCAACC
This is a long non-coding RNA of Mustela putorius furo (domestic ferret), 2178 nucleotides long. The record is from Ensembl. Lineage: Eukaryota; Metazoa; Chordata; Mammalia; Carnivora; Mustelidae.